RNAcentral lists this ribosomal RNA (253 nucleotides) under uncultured bacterium. RNAcentral's name for it is "partial 16S ribosomal RNA". It matches the Rfam family "Bacterial small subunit ribosomal RNA", at positions 524 to 776 of the family's 1533-position model. The record is from RNAcentral.
UACAGAGGUCCCAAGCGUUGUUCGGAUUCAUUGGGCGUAAAGGGUGCGUAGGCGGCGCGGGAAGUCGGGUGUGAAAGCUCGGAGCUCAACUCCGAAAUGGCAUUGGAAACUACCUGGCUUGAGGGUUGGAAGGGGGACUGGAAUUCUCGGUGUAGCAGUGAAAUGCGUAGAUAUCGAGAGGAACACCAGUGGCGAAGGCGAGUCCCUGGACAAUACCUGACACUGAGGCACGAAAGCUAGGGGAGCAAACAGG